AGCGAACGCUGGCGGCAGGCCUAACACAUGCGAGUCGAACGAACCUUUCGGGGUUAGUGGCGGACGGGUGAGUAACACGUGGGAACGUGCCUUUAGGUUCGGAAUAACUCAGGGAAACUUGUGCUAAUACCGAAUGUGCCCUUCGGGGGAAAGAUUAAUCGCCUUUAGAGCGGCCCGCGUCUGAUUAGCUAGUUGGUUGAGGUAAUGGCUCACCAAGGCGACGAUCAGUAGCUGGUCUGAGAGGAUGAUCAGCCACAUUGGGACUGAGACACGGCCCAAACUCCUACGGGAGGCAGCAGUGGAGAAUCUUGCGCAAUGGGCGAAAGCCUGACGCAGCCAUGCCGCGUGAAUGAUGAAGGUCUUAGGAUUGUAAAAUUCUUUCACCGGGGACGAUAAUGACGGUACCCGGAGAAGAAGCCCCGGCUAACUUCGUG
RNAcentral lists this ribosomal RNA (434 nucleotides) under uncultured bacterium. RNAcentral's name for it is "partial 16S ribosomal RNA". It matches the Rfam family "Bacterial small subunit ribosomal RNA", at positions 29 to 507 of the family's 1533-position model. The record is from RNAcentral.